UUUAAAUGGCCGCAGUAUACUAACUGUGCAAAGGUAGCAUAAUCAUUAGUCUUUUAAUUGAAGGCUGGUAUGAAUGGUUGGACGAGAUAUUAACUGUUUCAUAAAAAUUUAUAUUAGAAUUUUAUUUUUUAGUCAAAAAGCUAAAAUUUAUUUAAAAGACGAGAAGACCCUAUAAAUCUUUAUAUUUAAAUUAUUAUAAUUUUAUAGAUUAUUUUUGUUAUAAUAAUUAAUAAUAUUUUAUUGGGGUGAUAUUAAAAUUUAAUAAACUUUUAAUUUUUAAAAUCAUUGAUUUAUGAAUAAUUGAUCCGUUAUUAACGAUUAAAAAAAUAAGUUACUUUAGGGAUAACAGCGUAAUUUUUUUGGAGAGUUCAUAUCGAUAAAAAAGAUUGCGACCUCGAUGUUGGAUUAAGAUAUAAUUUUAGGUGUAGCCGCUUAAAUUUUAAGUCUGUUCGACUUUUAA
RNAcentral lists this ribosomal RNA (460 nucleotides) under Scathophaga cineraria. Its description in RNAcentral is "partial 16S ribosomal RNA". It matches the Rfam family "Bacterial large subunit ribosomal RNA", at positions 1922 to 2591 of the family's 2925-position model. The record is from RNAcentral. RNAcentral also lists the same sequence under 1 other name. Lineage: Eukaryota; Metazoa; Arthropoda; Insecta; Diptera; Scathophagidae.